RNAcentral lists this ribosomal RNA (253 nucleotides) under uncultured bacterium. RNAcentral describes it as "partial 16S ribosomal RNA". It matches the Rfam family "Bacterial small subunit ribosomal RNA", at positions 524 to 776 of the family's 1533-position model. The record is from RNAcentral.
UACGUAGGGUGCAAGCGUUAAUCGGAAUUACUGGGCGUAAAGCGUGCGCAGGCGGUUAUGCAAGACAGAUGUGAAAUCCCCGGGCUCAACCUGGGAACUGCAUUUGUGACUGCAUGGCUGGAGUGCGGCAGAGGGGGGUGGAAUGCCGCGUGUAGCAGUGAAAUGCGUAGAGAUGCGGCGGAACACCGAUGGCGAAGGCAGCCCCCUGGGCUGAGAUUGACGCUCAGGCACGAAAGCGUGGGGAGCAAACAGG